Molecule: ribosomal RNA, 2123 nt
Filed under: mouse gut metagenome
Description: bacterial LSU rRNA
Rfam family: Bacterial large subunit ribosomal RNA
Source: RNAcentral
AUUCCAAUCGAACUCGGAGAUAGCUGGUUCUCCUCGAAAUAGCUUUAGGGCUAGCGUUGUGUAGUAGCAUUUGGGGGUAGAGCUCUGAAAGGGUCUGGGGCCGGCAACGGUACCCAUCCCUAUCAAACUACGAAUACCGAAUGUGUAAUCACGGCAGUCAGAACGGCGGGGCUAAGCUCGUCGCUCAAAAGGGAAACAGCCCAGACCAUCGUCUAAGGUCCCUAAUUAAUACUAAGUGGGAAACAAGGUGAAGUUUCUUAAACAGCUAGGAUGUUGGCUUAGAAGCAGCCAUUCAUUUAAAGAGUGCGUAACAGCUCACUAGUCAAGAGAUUUUGCGUGGAAAAUGUAACGGGGCUAAGUAUUAAACCGAAGACAUGGAUUGCUAUUAUGAUUCGUCAUAGUAGCAGUGGUAGAGGAGCGUUGAUAUUGCGGUGAAGUCAGAUUGGAAAGUCUGGUGGAGCGUUAUCAAGUGAGAAUGCUGGAAUCAGUAACCAUAAGACAGGUGAGAAUCCUGUCGGUCGUAAGAGCAAGGUUUCCAGGGCUACAGUAAUUGUCCCUGGGUUAGUCGGUCCUAAGCCGAGGCGUAUCAGCGUAGGCGAUGGACAACAGGUUAAUAUUCCUGUACAGGUAGUAGUUGUUAACAGUUCACGGUGAAUGACCGGAGCGGAUUAAUGGUUUAUCCGUCCAAGGUUUAUGGGAACAUAAACUGAGUGAAAGGAACUCUUCGGAGUUUUAAUUCUGGGUGAAGCACUGGCUAGAAAAGCUGAUUAACUUAUGCUGCUGCCUACCGUACCGCAAACCAACACAGGUGCUCGGGUCGAGUAGACCAAGACCUACGAGAGAACUUUCGCUAAGGAACUCGGCAAAAAAGCGUCCGUAACUUCGGAAUAAGGACUGCCCUCUCAUUAAGAUGAGGAUUUGCAAAGAGUUGCUCGGCAGAGCAGUGUAAAGGUAAUUAAUAUAUGUAUCUUAAAUUCGAAUAUCUGUUGUCGAGACACAAUUUUAUUUGACUCUUUGUAGCUUGAUCAUCAUUUUGAUGAGAGGGCCGCAGCUAAAGAGCCCACGGAACUGUUUAUCAAAAACAUAGGUCUCUGCUAACGCGAAAGCGGAUGUAUAGGGGCUGACUCCUGCCCAGUGUCGGAAGGUUAAGGGGAGCGCUUCACGGUGCAAACUGAAGCCCCGAUGAACGGCGGCGAUAACUAUGAUCGUCCUAAGGUAGCGAAAUUCCUUGUCUGGUAAGUUCAGACCUGCACGAAUGGAGUAAUCAUGUGGGCACUGUCUCGGCGAAGGCCUCGGUGAACGUGCAUUGGCGGUAAAGAUGCCGUCUGAUCAUGCCAGGACGAGAAGACCCCAUGGAGCUUUACUACAACUUUGCAUUGAUUGUUGGGACAUUUUGUGUAGCAUAGGUGGGAGGCUUUGAAGCAGAUACGCUAGUAUUUGUGGAGCCAAAGGUGAAAUACCACCCUGAGUGUUUUAGCAAUCUAACUCUUGACGUUAUCCGCCAAGAGGACCGUGCAUGGCGGGUAGUUUAACUGGGGCGGUUGCCUCCUAAAGAGUAUCGGAGGCGUUCAAAGGUUGGCUAGCUACGGAUGGAAAUCGUAGUGGUAGUGUAUGCGCAAAAGCCAGCUUGACUGUGAGGGCCACAACCCAAUCAGACACGAAAGUGGGAGCAAAUGACCCGCUGUACAGAACUUCGGUUCAAUUUACGUGGGAAAGACAGCGCACACGGAUAAAAGUUACCCUGGGGAUAACAGGCUGAUCGCGCCCAAUAGUUCACAUAGACGGCGCGGUUUGGCACCUCGAUGUCGGCUCAUCACAUCCUGGAGGGGGAGCACCUUCCAAGGGUCCGGCUGUUCGCCGGUUAAAGUGGUACGCGAGCUGGGUUCAGAACGUCGUGAGACAGUUCGGUUUAUAUCCGGCAUGAUCGUUAGGAAUUUUGAGGAGAUUUGUCUCUAGUACGAGAGGACCGAGAUGAACGAACCUCUAGUGUAUCGGUUGUGGCCACCUGCUGCAUUGCCGAGUAGCUAUGUUCGGAAGAGAUAAGCGCUGAAAGCAUAUUAAGCGCGAAGCCCACUCCAAGAUAAGAAUUCCCUAUGGAGACUCCAGAGAGAUGAUCUGGUUGA